Molecule: ribosomal RNA, 505 nt
Filed under: uncultured bacterium
Lineage: Bacteria
Description: partial 16S ribosomal RNA
Rfam family: Bacterial small subunit ribosomal RNA
Source: RNAcentral
CCUACGGGAGGCAGCAGUAAGGAAUAUUGGUCAAUGGAGGCAACUCUGAACCAGCCAUGCCGCGUGCAGGAAGACAGCCCUAUGGGUCGUAAACUGCUUUUAUACGGGAAUAAACUUUGAUUCGUGAAUCAAGCUGAAUGUACCGUAAGAAUAAGGAUCGGCUAACUCCGUGCCAGCAGCCGCGGUAAUACGGAGGAUCCAAGCGUUAUCCGGAUUUAUUGGGUUUAAAGGGAGCGUAGGCGGCCUAUUAAGUCAGGGGUGAAAGACGGUGGCUCAACCAUCGCAGUGCCUUUGAUACUGAUGGGCUUGAAUAUAGUUGAGGUAGGCGGAAUGUGACAAGUAGCGGUGAAAUGCAUAGAUAUGUCACAGAACACCGAUUGCGAAGGCAGCUUACUAAGCUAUGAUUGACGCUGAGCGUCGAAGACGUGGGAGUACAACAGAGUAGUAUACCUACGUAGUACCGACCGACCCGUAACCGAACUAGAUAACUACGUAUGUUGGUCGG